Long non-coding RNA from Neopsephotus bourkii (Bourke's parrot), 1157 nucleotides. RefSeq lists it as uncharacterized. The record is from RefSeq and is a predicted model, not a curated record. The transcript has 2 exons. NCBI's taxonomy places the organism in Eukaryota, Metazoa, Chordata, Aves, Psittaciformes, Psittacidae.
ACGAUAAGAAACCUGAUUUUGGAAAGAUAGCUUGAGGAUACAGGCCUUCCACUGGCUUUUGAGUCUAAGCUGCCAGUUAUGUGUGCAAGUACUAGGUUUUAGAGAAGCAGCCACGAUGGGAUCGCAGUGACUGUUUCAGGUCCUUGAGAAAAUAAGGCCCAAUGGAUAAUCUUGAAGAAGCUAUUGCAAACUACUAGUGAUAUCAAGGGAUGUGCCUAACUGCAGCACUUGUGACAAGGGCUAACGGCUUUAAGCUGAAAGAGGAUAGAUCCAGAUUAGAUAUUAGGAAGAAUUUCUUUACUAGGAGAGUGGUGAGGCACUUGCACAGGCUGCCCAGAGAAGUUGUGGCUGCCCCAUCCCUGGAUGUGUUCAAGGCCAGGUUGGACAGGGCUUUGAGCAGCCUGGCCUACUGGAAGGUUUCCCUGCCCAUGACAGGAAGGUUGGAACUGGAUGAUCUUUAAGGUCCCUUCAAACCCAAACCAUUCUCUGAUUACCCAGUCAGUAGCUUUUGCUGAGCACCAUGACAGUGGCAGUUUAUAUGACAACCUAGUGCUCUUUUCAUAGACCUUUUCCUGUAUUAAGCAUCUUAAAUGGGUCUAGUUACUGUCAGUUUCUUACAACUGAGAUCUCUGCUGACUGCCUAGACAAAUGGACCUGUUUGUGAACACUAAGUAUUACACACAGGCCAUAGGCACUAGUCUGGAGUGCAUCAAGUGGAGGGAGGUGGUAUGGAAGCUCCUGACACGAUGCAGUUACCAUGACAGAGUGGAGUCACAGAACUAAGGUGGAAUGCUUUUUACCAAAAGGAAAAAACAAGCAAACAAACAAGACAAAAAAAAGUAGAGUCUGAUAAGAGUUAGCACAAAAAGUUUGGCAUUUUUGCUGCCUGCAGUACCUCUUGUAUCUGUGAUCAGCCCAUUCUAGCACAAAAUAAGAGCAGCAAUCAGUGGUAAAUGCAGACCUAUUAAACAGCUGCUUAAAACUGCAUUUAAUUGUCUGCCCUGUAAUGAUAAUAGCUGUGCCACUAAUGGAACAUUGUGAAGCAAACAUUAUCCUUAUCUGAUCUCAAUUGCUUAUCCAAUUUCAUGUAUAGUGGAAAUACUAUUUGUUAGUUCUCUUGGAUAAGAGUAAAAUCUCUUUUAUGGUACAUUUAAUAA